This is a long non-coding RNA of Pomacea canaliculata, 1298 nucleotides long. RefSeq lists it as uncharacterized. NCBI's taxonomy places the organism in Eukaryota, Metazoa, Mollusca, Gastropoda, Architaenioglossa, Ampullariidae. The record is from RefSeq and is a predicted model, not a curated record. The transcript is spliced from 3 exons.
UAUUUAAAUGUACAGCAAAUUAUGAUCUGUCUCUAAAAUUGUUCAAUUAUUUAAAAAGUCAGUUGUUUCUGCUUUUCUUGUCAUUAAGAUUGUUAACUUUUUUCGUAUACUAAAUAUGUUUACUUUUUCAUACACUGUAACUUGAAGUAGGGAUUUGCUUAAUUUCCAACAUCCUCUCAAUGUUGUUUCCUUCCUUCCUUCCCUAAUUGUGUCCCCUGCUCAAGGAAGACUGUAAUCCUUCCAGUUACCGGAUUCUCAGUUACCAAAACAAUUUAACAUUUUCAGUGAUAGCUCUAAAAUUACUUCUAUACAAUGAAUUUUAAACAGAGAUUUAGAAAAUUUACUAAUUUAACAAUGUGCACGAAACUUGUGAAGGACUUCAAGAAGAUAGAACAUCAUUUGUUUUGAAGUGAAAGGAGCUGAAGGCUGUUUUUUAUUCUUAGUUUCAGAAACAACCAUCGUUGACAUGUAGCAGCGAGGGUGACCCCAUCAUCGCACCUUCAUCUCAAGAAUGCUCGUGAGACUGUGAAGACAUCUCAUGUGCAUGACAGCCUGAUGGAAGGACAUCUUUUAUCAUGGCAGACACACAACUAUUUUGUGCUUUAAUCGCGGUUAUCUUCAGUAUCAGUCAUUCGGAUGACAGCUGUGGAGAUGUGAAGGUUAUAAGUCCUGUCUGGAACACCUUCAACAUGUCUGUCAAUGACUGGCUGAACAUGACUUUCCAGCUGGACACAGAUAAAUGUUCAAGUCCAACUUACAUUAAUCACCGCAGAAAAAAACGAAGAUCGUCCAAUGAUUAUUUGUCGAAUACAUCACAACAAAACCUCGUGCUAUAAAACAGGUGAAGAAGCCAUGUACUCAUGUCGCUGUGUCAGUCCCUCAGGUCCUGUGGAAUUCUGGGAAAAGCUGGUGAGACCUGGAGAUGUGGAGUACAGGUGGAGAUGGACUGAUGUCUCAUCAGGAAAGCAUGGCGAGAAAAAGAUAAAUGUUCACGUUGCAAGCAUCAACAAAAAUUUCAAAUAUUUUCAAACAGCAAAAUUUAUUCUCGUGGGAUUUGGUGGACUCUUAGUGAUUGUUGCUGUCGUUAUUACUUUUGCCAGUUGCCAGUCACCAAGAUCCGUGAGUGAGUGUCUCUAUUGUUGCUAUAAUUUACUAGGGACUGAAAAUAUUCUAAUUUCCAGAAAAAUUGAUUUCUUGAAAGAUCAAAUUUGUUGUUCAUUGAAACUUUUUGUCUAUAUCUUUCCUGUAGAUAGUUGUCUACAGAUAUAGAUACAUUCUGUGUGUAUGCUAACAAACAC